RNAcentral lists this ribosomal RNA (584 nucleotides) under uncultured bacterium. RNAcentral describes it as "bacterial SSU rRNA". It matches the Rfam family "Bacterial small subunit ribosomal RNA", at positions 331 to 929 of the family's 1533-position model. The record is from RNAcentral.
CCAGACUCCUACGGGAGGCAGCAGUGAGGAAUCUUCCACAAUGGGCGAAAGCCUGAUGGAGCAACGCCGCGUGCAGGACGAAGGCCUUCGGGUUGUAAACUGCUUUUAUAAGUGAGGAAUAUGACGGUAACUUAUGAAUAAGGAUCGGCUAACUACGUGCCAGCAGCCGCGGUCAUACGUAGGAUCCGAGCGUUAUCCGGAGUGACUGGGCGUAAAGAGUUGCGUAGGUGGUUGUAUAAGUGAAUAGUGAAAUCUGGUGGCUCAACCAUACAGGCUAUUAUUCAAACUGUACAACUCGAGAAUGGUAGAGGUCACUGGAAUUUCUUGUGUAGGAGUGAAAUCCGUAGAUAUAAGAAGGAACACCGAUGGCGUAGGCAGGUGACUGGACCAUUUCUGACACUAAGGCACGAAAGCGUGGGGAGCGAACCGGAUUAGAUACCCGGGUAGUCCACGCCGUAAACGAUGGAUACUGGCUGUUGGAGGUAUCGACCCCUUCAGUAGCGAAGCUAACGCGUUAAGUAUCCCGCCUGUGGAGUACGGCCGCAAGGCUAAAACAUAAAGGAAUUGACGGGGGCCCGCACAAG